This 304-nucleotide long non-coding RNA is filed under the name Monodelphis domestica (gray short-tailed opossum). Its description in RNAcentral is "lncRNA (ENSMODG00000037405.1)". Lineage: Eukaryota; Metazoa; Chordata; Mammalia; Didelphimorphia; Didelphidae. The record is from RNAcentral.
CCUUUGUUACUUUCUUUCUUGCUUGCUUUCUUGCAAUCUUUCUUUCUUCCUUUCUUCCUAGCUUUCUUUCUGUCUUUCUUUCUGGAUUUCUUUCUUCCUUUCUGUCUUUCUUUCUUCCUUCCUUCCUUCCUUCCUUUCUUUCUUUCUUUCUUUCUUUCUUUCUUUCUUUCUUUCUUUCUUUCUUUCUUUCUUUCUUUCUUUCUUUCUUUCUUUCUUUCUUUCUCUCUUUCUUUCUUUCUUUCUUUCUUUCUUUCUUUCUUUCUUUCUUUCUUUCUUUCUUUCUCUUCCAUCUAUCCAUCCAUCA